Molecule: ribosomal RNA, 497 nt
Filed under: uncultured bacterium
Lineage: Bacteria
Description: partial 16S ribosomal RNA
Rfam family: Bacterial small subunit ribosomal RNA
Source: RNAcentral
GACGAACGCUGGCGGCGUGCCUAAUACAUGCAAGUUGAGCGCUGAAGGUUGGUACUUGUACCGACUGGAUGAGCAGCGAACGGGUGAGUAACGCGUGGGGAAUCUGCCUUUGAGCGGGGGACAACAUUUGGAAACGAAUGCUAAUACCGCAUAAAAACUUUAAACACAAGUUUUAAGUUUGAAAGAUGCAAUUGCAUCACUCAAAGAUGAUCCCGCGUUGUAUUAGCUAGUUGGUGAGGUAAAGGCUAACCAAGGCGAUGAUACAUAGCCGACCUGAGAGGGUGAUCGGCCACAUUGGGACUGAGACACGGCCCAAACUCCUACGGGAGGCAGCAGUAGGGAAUCUUCGGCGAUGGACGAAAGUCUGACCGAGCAACGCCGCGUGAGUGAAGAAGGUUUUCGGAUCGUAAAACUCUGUUGGUAGAGAAGAACGUUGGUGAGAGUGGAAAGCUCAUCAAGUGACGGUAACUACCCAGAAAGGGACGGCUAACUACGUG